Non-coding RNA from Hanseniaspora uvarum DSM 2768, 1166 nucleotides. The record is from Rfam. NCBI's taxonomy places the organism in Eukaryota, Fungi, Ascomycota, Saccharomycetes, Saccharomycodales, Saccharomycodaceae.
GCUCAUUAAAUCAGUUAUCGUUUAUUUGAUAGUUUCUUUACUACAUGGAAUACCUGUGGUAAUUCUAGAGCUAAUACAUGCUUAAAAUCCCAACUUACGAAGGGAUGUAUUUAUUAGAUAAAAAAUCAAUGUCUUCGGACUUCUGAUGAUUCAUAAUAACUUUUCGAAUCGCAUGGCUUUAUGCUGGCGAUGGUUCAUUCAAAUUUCUGCCCUAUCAACUUUUGAUGGUAGGAUAGUGGCCUACCAUGGUUUCAACGGGUAACGGGGAAUAAGGGUUCGAUUCCGGAGAGGGAGCCUGAGAAACGGCUACCACAUCCAAGGAAGGCAGCAGGCGCGCAAAUUACCCAAUCCUAAUUCAGGGAGGUAGUGACAAUAAAUAACGAUACAGGGCUUUAUGUCUUGUAAUUGGAAUGAGUACAAUUUAAAUACCUUAACGAGGAACAAUUGGAGGGCAAGUCUGGUGCCAGCAGCCGCGGUAAUUCCAGCUCCAAUAGCGUAUAUUAAAGUUGUUGCAGUUAAAAAGCUCGUAGUUGAACUUUGGGCUUGGAGAAUCGGUCCAACUUUGUUGUGUACUGUCUUCUCCAGGUCUUUCCUUCUGGUUCUCAUUUGGGGUUUACUUCCAUUUGUUGAUCCAGGAUUUUUACUUUGAAAAAAUUAGAGUGUUCAAAGCAGGCGUUUUGCUCGAAUAUAUUAGCAUGGAAUAAUAGAAUAGGACGAUUGGUUCUAUUUUGUUGGUUUCUAGGACCAUCGUAAUGAUUAAUAGGGACGGUCGGGGGCAUCAGUAUUCAGUUGUCAGAGGUGAAAUUCUUGGAUUUACUGAAGACUAACUACUGCGAAAGCAUUUGUCAAGGACGUUUUCAUUAAUCAAGAACGAAAGUUAGGGGAUCGAAGAUGAUCAGAUACCGUCGUAGUCUUAACCAUAAACUAUGCCGACUAGGGAUCGGGCGGUGCCUUUUAUUGGCCCACUCGGCACCUUACGAGAAAUCAAAGUUUUUGGGUUCUGGGGGGAGUAUGGUCGCAAGGCUGAAACUUAAAGGAAUUGACGGAAGGGCACCACCAGGAGUGGAGCCUGCGGCUUAAUUUGACUCAACACGGGGAAACUCACCAGGUCCAGACACAAUAAGGAUUGACAGAUUGAGAGCUCUUUCUUGAUUUUGUGGGUGGUG